GCCGAGACUAGAGUCACAUUUGGGCACUGCCUGUUGCCCUGGUGUGCUAGAGUACUCGGAAAGCAACAACUAAUCUAUAUUCACUGGCUGAGCCCUUUCAUGAUUCAGUCAGUCACCAGGUUAGUGACAGAA
Molecule: small nucleolar RNA, 132 nt
Filed under: Tinamus guttatus (white-throated tinamou)
Lineage: Eukaryota; Metazoa; Chordata; Aves; Tinamiformes; Tinamidae
Description: Small nucleolar RNA SNORA3/SNORA45 family
Rfam family: Small nucleolar RNA SNORA3/SNORA45 family
About the family: The members of this family belong to the H/ACA class of snoRNAs which are thought to guide the sites of modification of uridines to pseudouridines. This family includes mouse snoMBI-28 and human homologues ACA3 (SNORA3) and ACA3-2 (SNORA45). Both ACA3 and ACA3-2 share the same host gene.
Source: Rfam by way of RNAcentral